GGAAUCUUGCGCAAUGGGCGAAAGCCUGACGCAGCAACGCCGCGUGAGGGAUGACGGCCUUCGGGUUGUAAACCUCUUUCAGGAGGGACGAAGCGAAAGUGACGGUACCUUCAGAAGAAGCCCCGGCCAACUACGUGCCAGCAGCCGCGGUAAUACGUAGGGGGCGAACGUUGUCCGGAUUUAUUGGGCGUAAAGAGCUCGUAGGCGGCUCAACAAGUCGGCCGUGAAAACCCGGGGCUCAACCCCGGGACGCCGGUCGAAACUGUUGUGGCUAGGGUUCGGUAGAGGAGAGUGGAAUUCCCGGUGUAGCGGUGAAAUGCGCAGAUAUCGGGAGGAACACCAGUAGCGAAGGCGGCUCUCUGGGCCGAUACCGACGCUGAGGAGCGAAAGCUAGGGGAGCAAA
Molecule: ribosomal RNA, 403 nt
Filed under: uncultured bacterium
Lineage: Bacteria
Description: bacterial SSU rRNA
Rfam family: Bacterial small subunit ribosomal RNA
Source: RNAcentral